CCCUUAGAUGUUCUGGGCUGCACACGUGCUACACUGGCAGGUUCAGCGAGCUUCAUGCCCUGAUCUGAAAGGAAUGGGAAAUCUUUUCAAAACCUGCCGUGCUUGGGAUAGAUGUUUGCAAUUAUUCAUCUUCAACGAGGAUUGCCUUGUAAGCGCACGUCAUCAGCGUGCAUUGAAUACGACCCUGUAUUCUGUACACACCGCCCGUCGCUCCUACCGAUUGAAUGAUCCGAUGAAUAUCAUGGAUUGAGGAUGCAAGUAGGUUCGCCUAUCUUCAUCUUCGAGAAGUGAAGUAAAUCUUAUCAUUUAGAGGAAGGGGAAGUCGUAACA
This 330-nucleotide ribosomal RNA is filed under the name uncultured eukaryote. RNAcentral's name for it is "partial 18S ribosomal RNA". It matches the Rfam family "Eukaryotic small subunit ribosomal RNA", at positions 1470 to 1796 of the family's 1831-position model. The record is from RNAcentral.